GCCAGACUCCUACGGGAGGCAGCAGUGGGGGAUAUUGGACAAUGGGGGGAACCCUGAUCCAGCGAUGCCGCGUGAGGGAAGAAGGUUUUCGGAUUGUAAACCUCUGUGGACAGGGACGAUAAUGACGGUACCUGUCAAGAAAGCCACGGCUAACUACGUGCCAGCAGCCGCGGUAAUACGUAGGGGGCAAGCGUUAUCCGGAUUUACUGGGUGUAAAGGGAGCGUAGACGGCAGCACAAGUCUGGAGUGAAAUGCCGGGGCUUAACCCCGGAACUGCUUUGGAAACUGUGCAGCUAGAGUGCAGGAGAGGUAAGUGGAAUUCCUAGUGUAGCGGUGAAAUGCGUAGAUAUUAGGAGGAACACCAGUGGCGAAGGCGGCUUACUGGACUGUAACUGACGUUGAGGCUCGAAAGCGUGGGGAGCAAACAGGAUUAGAUACCCCAGUAC
This 446-nucleotide ribosomal RNA is filed under the name uncultured bacterium. RNAcentral's name for it is "bacterial SSU rRNA". It matches the Rfam family "Bacterial small subunit ribosomal RNA", at positions 330 to 793 of the family's 1533-position model. The record is from RNAcentral.